RNAcentral lists this ribosomal RNA (889 nucleotides) under Euplotes sp. RNAcentral's name for it is "SSU rRNA". It matches the Rfam family "Eukaryotic small subunit ribosomal RNA", at positions 894 to 1772 of the family's 1831-position model. Lineage: Eukaryota; Ciliophora; Spirotrichea; Euplotida; Euplotidae. The record is from RNAcentral.
GUAUUUAAUUUCCAGAGGUGAAAUUUCUUUGAAAUAUUAAAGACUAACUUAUGCGAAAGCAUUUAUUUUUGCCAAUAAUGUUUUCAUUAAUCAUUGAACGAAAGUUAGGGGAUCAAAGACGAUCAGAUACCGUCCUAGUCUUAACCAUAAACGUUGCCGACUAGGGAUCGGAGGGCGUGCACAUUCCGCCUUCGGCACCUUACGAGAAAUCAAAGUCUUUUGGGUUCUGGGGGUAGUAUGGUCGCAAGGCUGAAACUUAAAGGAAUUGACGGAAGGGCACCACCAGGAGUGGAGCUUGCGGCUCAAUUUGACUCAACACGGGAAAUCUUACCAGGUCCAGACAUAGCGAGGAUUGACAGAUUGAUAGCUCUUUCUUGAUUCUAUGGGUAUUUAUAAUUUUUGUUGGUGGUGCAUGGCCGUUCUUAGUUGGUGGAGUGAUUUGUCUGGUUAAUUCCGUUAAACGAACGAGACCUCAGCCUGCUAAAUAGUUACCUGUCUUUUUAUAUAUUACGAGACUUGAUAACUUCUUAGAGGGACGUUGUGUGCAACCACAAGGAAGUUGAGGCAAUAACAGGUCUGUGAUGCCCUUAGAUGUCCUGGGCCGCACGCGUGCUACACUGAUACGUACAACAAGGUAUAUGCAUUCAUGCAUCGAUGCUGCUCCGAGAUAGACACAGCUAAAUCUUCUAAAAUACGUAUCGUGCUGCGGAUAGAUCGUUGAAAUUAUGGAUCUUGAAGGUGGAAUUCCUAGUAAGCGCGGGUCAUCAGCCCGCGUUGAUUACGUCCCUGCCCUUUGUACACACCGCCCGUCGCUCCUACCAAUUUCGAGUGGCUCGGUGAACCUCUUUGGACUGUCGAGCAAUCGCGAAAUUAGAGUGAACCUGGUCAC